AACGAACGCUGGCGGCAGGCCUAACACAUGCAAGUCGAGCGAGGACUUCGGUCCUAGCGGCGGACGGGUGAGUAACGCGUGGGAACGUGCCCUUUGCUUCGGAAUAGCCCUGGGAAACUGGGAGUAAUACCGGAUGAGCCCUUUGGGGGAAAGAUUUAUCGGCGAAGGAUCGGCCCGCGUUGGAUUAGGUAGUUGGUGGGGUAAUGGCCUACCAAGCCGACGAUCCAUAGCUGGUUUGAGAGGAUGAUCAGCCACACUGGGACUGAGACACGGCCCAGACUCCUACGGGAAGCAGCAGUGGGGAAUCGUAGACCAUGGGGGAAACCCUGAUCUAGCCAUGCCGCGUGAGCGAUGAAGGCCUUAGGGUUGUAAAGCUCUUUCAGCUGGGAAGAUAAUGACGGUACCAGCAGAAGAAGCCCCGGCUAACUCCGUG
Molecule: ribosomal RNA, 433 nt
Filed under: uncultured bacterium
Lineage: Bacteria
Description: partial 16S ribosomal RNA
Rfam family: Bacterial small subunit ribosomal RNA
Source: RNAcentral